UCUCAGUUCGGAUCGGAGUCUGNAACCCGACUCCGUGAAGCUGGAUUCGCUAGUAAUCGCGCAUCAGCCAUGGCGCGGUGAAUACGUUCCCGGGCCUUGUACACACCGCCCGUCAAGCCAUGGGAGCCGGGGGUGCUUGAAGUGCGUCGCCGCAAGGCGCGCCCUAGAGCAAAACCGGUGACUGGGGCUAAGUCGUAACAAGGUAAC
RNAcentral lists this ribosomal RNA (207 nucleotides) under uncultured bacterium. RNAcentral's name for it is "partial 16S ribosomal RNA". It matches the Rfam family "Bacterial small subunit ribosomal RNA", at positions 1286 to 1500 of the family's 1533-position model. The record is from RNAcentral.